Long non-coding RNA from Bombus impatiens (common eastern bumble bee), 712 nucleotides. RefSeq lists it as uncharacterized. Lineage: Eukaryota; Metazoa; Arthropoda; Insecta; Hymenoptera; Apidae. The transcript is spliced from 2 exons. The record is from RefSeq and is a predicted model, not a curated record.
UAUUCAUAAGAAUUGUCGAACUUUCGAUAUUUUUAUUAUGGUACAAUUACUUUUAUAGAACUGCUCACUUAGAAUGAUUAUGUUGUAAUUAAUUUCUAAUAGAAUUUAUUAAAUAUUAUGUUUAUAGAACAGUAGAAUUAAUAGAUAAUGCAGUAUAAAGUAAUUGCAGUAAAUUGUAUAAAUACUAAAAUUUACCAAACUUACCGUUUGCAAUAAAAUUUUGCAGUAUAAUAUAGAAUUUCUUAAACAUUAUUUCAAUGGUAGAUUAGUAAAUUGCGGAUAUUUAUUCUGAAUUGUUCGCCAUUUUAUAAUAUGUAGUGCUAAAUUGUUAAAACCGACAAUUUCUAACUUUUAAUCAGCAUCAGUACGUGGAAGUCGCAAUUUGGAAUCGAGUCAUUGAAAUGUUGUUUCGAUUCACAGCAAAACGGAUAACGAUCAGGUAGAAUGAGGGGUCUGGACGUUCACGGCCCCUCAUCCUGAAGAGAGUCGACGCGAGUAGUUUUCAUUAGGACUCGAAUUGGCCUCGGAGAAGCGUGGUUUGGUUGGAUCUUGCACGGAGGGCCGUCUAAGUAUAUCCAUGUUAUUUCUGGCGGGAGCUGACGCACUGUUUCUCUCCUCAUCGCCUCUCUCUUCUCUAUUCGCGUCUUCCAAAGAAUUAUUCUCGUUGUUCAUUGCCACGGUGCUUGAUGAUUUUCGAAGAAACUGAAGUUGC